This 2899-nucleotide ribosomal RNA is filed under the name Escherichia coli. RNAcentral describes it as "23S ribosomal RNA". It matches the Rfam family "Bacterial large subunit ribosomal RNA". Lineage: Bacteria; Pseudomonadati; Pseudomonadota; Gammaproteobacteria; Enterobacterales; Enterobacteriaceae. The record is from RNAcentral.
GGUUAAGCGACUAAGCGUACACGGUGGAUGCCCCGGCAGUCAGAGGCGAUGAAGGACGUGCUAAUCUGCGAUAAGCGUCGGUAAGGUGAUAUGAACCGUUAUAACCGGCGAUUUCCGAAUGGGGAAACCCAGUGUGUUUCGACACACUAUCAUUAACUGAAUCCAUAGGUUAAUGAGGCGAACCGGGGAACUGAAACAUCUAAGUACCCCGAGGAAAAGAAAUCAACCGAGAUUCCCCAGUAGCGGCGAGCGAACGGGGAGGAGCCCAGAGCCUGAAUCAGUGUGUGUGUUAGUGGAAGCGUCUGGAAAGGCGCGCGAUACAGGGUGACAGCCCCGUACACAAAAAUGCACAUACUGUGAGCUCGAUGAGUAGGGCGGGACACGUGGUAUCCUGUCUGAAUAUGGGGGACCAUCCUCCAAGGCUAAAUACUCCUGACUGACCGAUAGUGAACCAGUACCGUGAGGGAAAGGCGAAAAGAACCCCGGCGAGGGAGUGAAAAAGAACCUGAAACCGUGUACGUACAAGCAGUGGGAGCCUCUUUUAUGGGGUGACUGCGUACCUUUUGUAUAAUGGGUCAGCGACUUAUAUUCUGUAGCAAGGUUAACCGAAUAGGGGAGCCGAAGGGAAACCGAGUCUUAACUGGGCGUUAAGUUGCAGGGUAUAGACCCGAAACCCGGUGAUCUAGCCAUGGGCAGGUUGAAGGUUGGGUAACACUAACUGGAGGACCGAACCGACUAAUGUUGAAAAAUUAGCGGAUGACUUGUGGCUGGGGGUGAAAGGCCAAUCAAACCGGGAGAUAGCUGGUUCUCCCCGAAAGCUAUUUAGGUAGCGCCUCGUGAAUUCAUCUCCGGGGGUAGAGCACUGUUUCGGCAAGGGGGUCAUCCCGACUUACCAACCCGAUGCAAACUGCGAAUACCGGAGAAUGUUAUCACGGGAGACACACGGCGGGUGCUAACGUCCGUCGUGAAGAGGGAAACAACCCAGACCGCCAGCUAAGGUCCCAAAGUCAUGGUUAAGUGGGAAACGAUGUGGGAAGGCCCAGACAGCCGUGAUGUUGGCUUAGAAGCAGCCAUCAUUUAAAGAAAGCGUAAUAGCUCACUGGUCGAGUCGGCCUGCGCGGAAGAUGUAACGGGGCUAAACCAUGCACCGAAGCUGCGGCAGCGACGCUUAUGCGUUGUUGGGUAGGGGAGCGUUCUGUAAGCCUGUGAAGGUGUACUGUGAGGUAUGCUGGAGGUAUCAGAAGUGCGAAUGCUGACAUAAGUAACGAUAAAGCGGGUGAAAAGCCCGCUCGCCGGAAGACCAAGGGUUCCUGUCCAACGUUAAUCGGGGCAGGGUGAGUCGACCCCUAAGGCGAGGCCGAAAGGCGUAGUCGAUGGGAAACAGGUUAAUAUUCCUGUACUUGGUGUUACUGCGAAGGGGGACGGAGAAGGCUAUGUUGGCCGGGCGACGGUUGUCCCGGUUUAAGCGUGUAGGCUGGUUUUCCGGGCAAAUCCGGAAAAUCAAGGCUGAGGCGUGAUGACGAGGCACUACGGUGCUGAAGCAACAAAUGCCCUGCUUCCGGGAAAAGCCUCUAAGCAUCAGGUAACAUCAAAUCGUACCCCAAACCGACACAGGUGGUCAGGUAGAGAAUACCAAGGCGCUUGAGAGAACUCGGGUGAAGGAACUAGGCAAAAUGGUGCCGUAACUUCGGGAGAAGGCACGCUGAUAUGUAGGUGAAGCGACUUGCUCGUGGAGCUGAAAUCAGUCGAAGAUACCAGCUGGCUGCAACUGUUUAUUAAAAACACAGCACUGUGCAAACACGAAAGUGGACGUAUACGGUGUGACGCCUGCCCGGUGCCGGAAGGUUAAUUGAUGGGGUUAGCGGUAACGCGAAGCUCUUGAUCGAAGCCCCGGUAAACGGCGGCCGUAACUAUAACGGUCCUAAGGUAGCGAAAUUCCUUGUCGGGUAAGUUCCGACCUGCACGAAUGGCGUAAUGAUGGCGGGCUGUCUCCACCCGAGACUCAGUGAAAUUGAACUCGCUGUGAAGAUGCAGUGUACCCGCGGCAAGACGGAAAGACCCCGUGAACCUUUACUAUAGCUUGACACUGAACAUUGAGCCUUGAUGUGUAGGAUAGGUGGGAGGCUUUGAAGUGUGGACGCCAGUCUGCAUGGAGCCGACCUUGAAAUACCACCCUUUAAUGUUUGAUGUUCUAACGUUGGCCCCUGAUCGGGGUUGCGGACAGUGUCUGGUGGGUAGUUUGACUGGGGCGGUCUCCUCCUAAAGAGUAACGGAGGAGCACGAAGGUUGGCUAAUCUCGGUCGGACAUCAGGAGGUUAGUGCAAUGGCAUAAGCCAGCUUGACUGCGAGCGUGACGGCGCGAGCAGGUGCGAAAGCAGGUCAUAGUGAUCCGGUGGUUCUGAAUGGAAGGGCCAUCGCUCAACGGAUAAAAGGUACUCCGGGGAUAACAGGCUGAUACCGCCCAAGAGUUCAUAUCGACGGCGGUGUUUGGCACCUCGAUGUCGGCUCAUCACAUCCCGGGGCUGAAGUAGGUCCCAAGGGUAUGGCUGUUCGCCAUUUAAAGUGGUACGCGAGCUGGGUUUAGAACGUCGUGAGACAGUUCGGUCCCUAUCUGCCGUGGGCGCUGGAGAACUGAGGGGGCUGCUCCUAGUACGAGAGGACCGGAGUGGACGCAUCACUGGUGUUCGGGUUGUCAUGCCAAUGGCACUGCCCGGUAGCUAAAUGCGGAAGAGAUAAGUGCUGAAAGCAUCUAAGCACGAAACUUGCCCCGAGAUGAGUUCUCCCUGAGACUUUAAGUCUCCUGAAGGAACGUUGAAGACGACGACGUUGAUAGGCCGGGUGUGUAAGCGCAGCGAUGCGUUGAGCUAACCGGUACUAAUGAACCGUGAGGCUUAACCUU